CGAACGCUGGCGGCGUGCUUAACACAUGCAAGUCGAACGCGAAAGAGUUCUUCGGAACUUGAGUAGAGUGGCGCACGGGUGAGUAACGCGUAAGUAAUCUACCCUCGCAUCAGGGAUAACCCAUCGAAAGGUGAGCUAAUACCGGAUACGUCUAAGAUAAUACCUUUUUUUUAGAGAAAGAUGGCCUCUGAUUCAAGCUAUUGUGCGGGGAGGAGCUUGCGUACCAUUAGCUAGUUGGUAGGGUAACGGCCUACCAAGGCAACGAUGGUUAGCGGGUCUGAGAGGAUGAUCCGCCACACUGGAACUGGAACACGGACCAGACUCCUACGGGAGGCAGCAGUGAGGAAUAUUGCGCAAUGGGGGCAACCCUGACGCAGCGACGCCGCGUGGAUGAUGAAGGCCUUCGGGUUGUAAAAUCCUGUCAGAUGGGAAGAAGUGCUAUAUGCUUAAGAGGUGUAUAGUUUGACGGUACCAUCAAAGGAAGCACCGGCUAACUCC
RNAcentral lists this ribosomal RNA (498 nucleotides) under uncultured bacterium. RNAcentral describes it as "bacterial SSU rRNA". It matches the Rfam family "Bacterial small subunit ribosomal RNA", at positions 30 to 504 of the family's 1533-position model. The record is from RNAcentral.